GACGAACGUUGGCGGCGUGCUUAAUACAUGCAAGUCAACUGAAGCAGAGGUAGCAAUAUCUCUGCAGAGGUGGCGCACGGGUGAGUAACACGUAGGUAAUCUGCCUUCAGGUCUGACAUAACUCCGGGAAACCGGAGCUAAUAGCAGAUGAUGCAGCGGCUUGACAUCAAGACAGUUGUUAAAGCUUCGGCGCCUGAAGAUGAGCCUGCGUCUGAUUAGCUAGUUGGCGGGGUAACGGCCCACCAAGGCAACGAUCAGUAGCUGGUCUGAGAGGAUGAUCAGCCACACUGGAACUGAGACACGGUCCAGACUCCUACGGGAGGCAG
This 326-nucleotide ribosomal RNA is filed under the name uncultured Chlorobiota bacterium. RNAcentral describes it as "bacterial SSU rRNA". It matches the Rfam family "Bacterial small subunit ribosomal RNA", at positions 28 to 351 of the family's 1533-position model. The record is from RNAcentral. Lineage: Bacteria; Pseudomonadati; Chlorobiota.